CACGUAGGGGGCGAGCGUUGUCCGGAUUUAUUGGGCGUAAAGGGCUCGUAGGCGGCUCAGUAAGUCGGGUGUGAAACCUCCAGGCUCAACCUGGAGACGCCACUCGAUACUGCUGUGGCUAGAGUCCGGUAGGGGAGCAUGGAAUUCCUGGUGUAGCGGUGAAAUGCGCAGAUAUCAGGAGGAACACCAGUGGCGAAGGCGGUGCUCUGGGCCGGAACUGACGCUGAUGAGCGAAAGCGUGGGUAGCAAACAGG
Molecule: ribosomal RNA, 254 nt
Filed under: uncultured bacterium
Lineage: Bacteria
Description: partial 16S ribosomal RNA
Rfam family: Bacterial small subunit ribosomal RNA
Source: RNAcentral